AGAGUUUGAUCAUGGCUCAGGAUGAACGCUAGCUACAGGCUUAACACAUGCAAGUCGAGGGGCAGCAUUUUAGUUUGCUUGCAAACUAAAGAUGGCGACCGGCGCACGGGUGAGUAACACGUAUCCAACCUGCCGAUAACUCGGGGAUAGCCUUUCGAAAGAAAGAUUAAUAUCCGAUAGUAUAUUAAAACCGCAUGGUUUUACUAUUAAAGAAUUUCGGUUAUCGAUGGGGAUGCGUUCCAUUAGUUGUUGGCGGGGUAACGGCCACCAAGACUACGAUGGAUUGGGGUCUGAGAGGAAGGUCCCCCANAUUGGAACUGAGACACGGUCCAAACUCCUACGGGAGGCA
This 349-nucleotide ribosomal RNA is filed under the name uncultured bacterium. RNAcentral's name for it is "bacterial SSU rRNA". It matches the Rfam family "Bacterial small subunit ribosomal RNA", at positions 8 to 350 of the family's 1533-position model. The record is from RNAcentral.